AGAACAUGGAAUCAUGUAUAGAAAGGAAAUGGAAACAAGCACCUUAGUAAAGGCUGUUUUUAAUGCCCCCAUCUAUAAGCACUGAGCCUGAUAAGUGAGGUAACAUGUCUGGGAAGGUGUUACCUCACUCACCAUUGGGAUUGUCUUCCUAGCCCUGUUCCUGGUAUGUCCACUGUGAUGAAUAGCAGUCCUUGGUUCAUACUUUUCCUUACCUGUAACUCUCCUUUGUGCAACGGAACAAGUUAAAUGCCACAGGCCAGCUCAUGUCUUAGGAUCUCAUGGUCAGUGACAUGGAAGGCCCAAGAUAAAUCAAAAUUCUCUUCCCUGGAGGACAGCCCUUCCUCCACCAGCCUGGGAACUGGGAGGGAACUCUGGGAACUGUGACCUGAGGCUGGGAGCACUGUGCUUUAUCUCUUCAUCAGAAUGCCCUACCUGUGCUUGCCAGUUCCUCUUCUCUGUUUGGUUUCAUUUUUGCUCUUUAGUUUUAACAUGACAGGGCAAAUGAUUUCAGAAGGCAGAGUUUGCUGUAUUCUUUGCUGUGAAGUGGGAGCCUGCUGGGGGUUUGGGUGUUCAUUUUUUCCACUUUGCUUCAGACUCUGAGUGCAUUAGCAGAAUAAAUGCCUCCUAAAAAUAUUGAGGCUCAUUAGGAUGACACGUUGGAGAGAUGAAUGAGUGUGCUCAACGUUGUGUUCCAGGUAAAAUGAAACACAAGUCCUGUUGUUUGUCAAUGAUGAUGCUUGUUAUUGUUCUGAAAGGACAGUUACAGGGUACCUGGCAGUACAUUUAAGCUCAAACAAUCUAAAUUUUCCCAAAGGCACAAGAGCCAAAAUAUGUAGAGAAGAUAAUUGAUAAUUACUUUUGCUUGUAUACUAUUUUGUGAGGAAAUGAGCAUAUUUAAAGGAAAUCUAUAAUCUCAUUAGAAAUCAUAUUUAUAUCAUAAAAAUGAAACAAUUGGUAUUAAAGCAAUUUUUUCCCCAACAGUUUGUAGAACAAGUUCAGAAAGAGAAAUAUCAAAUGCCUUAGAUGUCAAGGUGAUGACUCUCCUGUUGAUGUUAUGAAGUUAUCUAUCAGUUUGUAGGUGAAAUUUAAAUUAAAAACCAUAUUGCUGCAAAGUUUGGAAUCAUGAACGGGCAGGAAUAGUGAAAAUUGGCCUAAUAUGUCUACAGAACAAGGAUGUAAACAUAAAAGCACUGUAUUUCUGAAUUACAACACACUCAUUUCCUAGUAAGCUGCUCAAUCAAUAGCACCAUCCUGAGAUAUCCCUGAGAUCUUAUAUUUGGGGAGUAAAAAGAAAACAGCAGCAGUGGUUUGUCAUCAUGGGGAACUACUGGACUUCUUCAUGUGAAACAGAAAUUCCACCCCAGUUUGUGACUCCCCACUGACUCUUACUGAGAAGGAUGGCAUACAAGCUCCUGAAAAUGAAAAGAGCAGCAGAAAUGCAAGCUCCCCCAUAGGAACUGAGCGAAAAACCCUGUUGACUUAAGAUCUCUUUCCCUGCUUUUAGAACACAUCUGAGACAUCCCGGGGUAGACCACAUGACAUCUAACAUGUUCCUUUCCACCUCUGAGAAGAAAUGCAAAAUGAAAGAAGAGAUAAAUAUCAAGGAAAUCUUACCUGGUGGACAAGAUGGGCCACUUUGUCCAUUGCCUCAAGCCACCUGAAAGACAGUAGGAGCUGUCUUUGGGGAGCUGGAUAAGUGUCACUUGGAGGAGCUUGUUGUUCUUACUGAACCCAUUGUUGAGACAGAACAGUCUUGAGGCUCAGAUAUAUUUCAUUGCUCUACGUUUAUAGUUGAAGAGUGACACAUUUGCAAAAUUGGUGUUACUAGGUGACAAAAUCGUACUUCCACUUGGCAUACUUGAAAUAUUCUUACCCUUUUCCUUUACUAUAGUUUACUUAAUGCCUGAGAAUAAAUGUAGUCAAUCUUUACUAAGGUAUAUGAAUUUAUUAACACCAACAAGGUUAAUAACAAUUGGUACAUUAACUGUAAAGUACUGGCUAUUA
Macaca fascicularis (crab-eating macaque) is the source of this 2004-nucleotide long non-coding RNA. The record is from Ensembl. Lineage: Eukaryota; Metazoa; Chordata; Mammalia; Primates; Cercopithecidae.